AAAUUUUAUAGUAUUUGGGUCACCCAAUGUGCUGUAUCUGAAAAUGUAACCUUACACUUCUCCAAUAUUUCUCAGUAUAUUAAGCGUUCUUGGGAUGCAAACUAUGUUAUGACUCUGCAUAACCUUACCAAGACAAUUGUCAAAAUCAAUGAGACUAAGGGUCUAUCUUGACAACCUCUUCCUUUUACCAGGGCUUGACUGAACAUUGAAAAAACCUGAUAGCCAAAUUACUAAUCUUAUAAUGCCGUUACCCUGGCCUUACUGUUUAUAAUAGUGAUAGUAUUUUCUUGUGUUGUGAGAUGCUUAUGUAACCAUGUAAAGACCACCGAAUGAAAAACAGCAAUGCUGGCUGAAGUCCUGGCAGCACAGUCAGAGCGGGGAGAUGUGGGGACAAGUGCAUGGAGUACUGUGUACGUGGCAUAUGUUGAGGGCGUCUGAGUGGCAAACCACUCCCCCAUGCUAGUCGUGUGAGUGGAAAACCGCUUACCCCAUAGGCACAGCCCUGGGUGUGGGGCCAUGUGUUGCAGUCCCUGUGCUUGCUCCAUGGCCCACUCCUCGAUUGGUCACCACAGGGACAGUUGGCCAGUAAUUGUACUGGUGGCUGCUUGUAAUCCGCAUAGCUACUGCCUGAGUAUACAUACAUGGUAACUGCUCAAUAAAAUUAGACCUGCUUCCUGCUUGGCCUCUGGAGGUCUUGAUUAAUGACUCCACAGCCACACUCUCCUCUACCCUAUUCUGUGGACCUCCUCACUGACAAGAGAGAGCCCACACAAAAGUUCACUCUCCUCUGGAAACACCCUCACAGACAUACCCAGAAUUCAUGUUCUGUUGACUCUCUGGGCCUUCUUCAGCCAACUUAGGUUGAAACAUAAAAUCAGCAAUCACACUGCAAAACCAUUUAUCAAAGCACUCACUGCUGGACUCCGCAGUGAAUCAGAGUAGCCAUUCUGCAUCUGCACCAGAACUCAUGCAGCCUGUACCUCUGUCUAGGACAUUCGGCUUCCCUGCAGGCACUUCCACGGUGGUUCCAGACUAGUGCGGUCCUGAGCUCCCUACGCACCUCAUUUGUUUGGACUUGCAUUGGCUGAGCCCGUGCCUUCUAAUGUGUGUGUGAACCCUGUGUAGAGCUGCAGUCGCUGGGGCAUUCCACCACACUCGGAUUAACACUUCCAACAUGAUUGUGUAAGUCCACCAAAAUCCUAUGUUGCGUGAUUGUCAUUGUUGUCAGAGGGGAGAAUUGAGUCUGGUCCCUUUACUUGCUUUGGUCUCAUGCAGAAGCCCCGCUUUUUAAACACAUGAAGAUCUCUGAAAUCUCUGUGUCUUAGAGUCUACAUCUUUGAUUGAGGGCAGCAUCUUAUUCUGGAAGAGCCUUCCAUAACACCUUUUCUCUGCAGCUUUGAGUUUGCUCUAUAUCAUAACAAUGAUGGAAAGGGGAAGUAAUUCCAAGCAAUAGAUCCUGCACUUUUCUUCUCUCUUUUUUUUCCCUUGGUACUAGGGAUUGAACCAGGGGUGUUUUACCACUGGGCAACAUCUCCAGCCCUUCCUUCCUUUCUUUUAAAUUUUUUUUUUAGUUGUAGAUGGACACAGUACCUUUAUUUUAUUUAUUUAUUUUUAUGUGGUGCUGAGGAUGGAACUCAGUGCCUCAUGCGUGCUAGGCAAGUGCUCUACCACUGAGCUACAACGCACUCCCUUGUCAGCCCUUAUUAUUUUUUUGAGACAGGGUCUCACUAAGUUGCUUAGAGUCUCACUAAGUUGCUGAGGCUGGCUUUGAAUUUGUGAUCCUCCUGCCUAGCCUCCCAAGCUGUUGGGAUUAUAGGUGUGUACCACCAUACCCAGCUACUUUUUCAUUUUUCUUCAAAGUGUGCAUCUUUAAUGUGAAAAACAGUAAAGAAAAUGCUCAUUUUAGCUGCAUGGAUAUCAGAUCAACAGAUCUAUAAUCUAAAUACCUGAUUAGAAGAAUAUGAACUUCAACAUUUCAUUAUCACUUUCAAGGGGUAGCUUGAGCAGGGGUGUGGCAGGGAGCUUGGUACUUGGAAAGACACAUGCUAGAGGACUGGGAAGACCCCAGCUUUGGGAGCAUGCAGAGAGCCAGGGGAAAGAGAGUCUGGGUGAGCAAAUGCAGGCCAUCUGCCUGGGCUUCCAGGCCCAGUGAGUGCAGCCUGCCUUGGCUUGAGGACACAUUAGAUCAGGUGAUGCCAUGAGGACACUGUAGAGAUUUGGGUUUAGAAAGAGUUCAAGAGGUUGGAGAGAGAAAGAAUGGUGGGAAUUGAGGAUGGGGGAUGUUUGCCCGUGUCAUGGUGUUAUCAGAUCUAAUCAGCAAGGAGAGAUGUCCUUGUUCUGAGCUCUCAGGCCCUGAAUCUUCACCCCAGGUGUGAGUGUGAGCAUGGACAUCAAAUGCAUUUCCUAGAAGUACUUUUCUUCCACAGGAAGAGACUAACCAAGGAACAAAGGAAGUGUUUGCUGGUUUCUUGCCCGAUGUAUCUGUCAGGGUGUGUCACUGCCAGGGCAUUGGGCGGUUAUCUCCAGAACCUGAGCAUGUGUCCCACAGGCAUCUGGCUGCUCACAAUCAAGAAUGCAGGAAGCAAGGACAAAGAGCACCUGCGAAGGGCCAGAUCAUGUGUCCUGUAGGCUUCGCAGAUCAAGAGGCAAAAUUGAGGAUGUCAUGUAGAUACUUCCCAUGAACAUUCUUUUGCAUUGAAGACAUUUAAAAUAUAAAACUAAGUGAAGAUAUCUAUGAUCAUUCGCCUAUUAAUGAGAAGAAAGUGUUUUUUGGGGGGUAUAGAAUUUUUACUAAUUUUAUUUCAGAGUCAGUGUGUCCAGUCAUCAGAUAGAUUUCACAUAUUCAUCUAUAGAAACCAUUCUCAGUUGUGUGUAGGGACAGACAAGGCCAGGCACUGAAAAUAGCAGGAAACAGUUUUAUUUGGCUGCAGCCAGGUUCAGUGGGCACAGCUUUUGCUGUAUUCAAUUAAUCUCCUGAACCCCAAGUUUAGGUAGUUUCAGAGUUUUAUACCCAGCAUGUAAGGGAAGGGGCUCAGAAGUUCAAAGUCUGCAGAAGUUCACAUAGAAGCAGCUUUUUAUUUCACUGUUUUGGGCAUGUUAACCCUUCAAGGACAACAUCUGAGAAGGAGAGAACUUCUUCUCUCCUUUCUUUUCUCCCUUACUAGCUGUUACCAUGGAGCCCAAUUGUAACUUAUCUUAAAAACGUAGACAUCUCUGUGAAGCCCAGCUCAAGGCCAGAGGCCUUGUUCGCACAUUUCUACAAACUACUAUACUGGAUACAUGUUUGUGAAAAACUAGUAAGGGGUGUCCAGCACCUGGAGUGCUGGUAUCUUCCCGGCCAGUGGCCAAGAGAAUAGGGCGACACAAAAAUAGGAAGUUUAUCUACAUUGGACUCUUUUGCAGAGACUCUUUUGCUGACAGUCCUAAAAUCAGCCAUGGUGGGGCCACAGGACUCAAACGGGGCUUGGGAAAGUCAGUCAGGACUCACCCGUUGCAUUGGUCACCCGGCAAAGGGAACGAACGGUCACCAUUUGCACGGGAUACCUCCUUGGCAGAGAACUGACGUCAUGGGUGGAGGAGAUAACUUCAUUGAAACCAGCGCAACAGCAUCAAAUAAAUUUAUAAGAGUAAACAGUAACUCAGCAGUCAAACAGAACAAGAAGUAACAUGAGCAGCAUAAAAAAGCAAGGAAGAAAAGGAGUACAAACAAUGAAGGACAGCCUAAAUAUUCAGGAGGAUCUAGAGUCAUUAGAAAAAUGGUCAUAUAAAGAUCUCAAGGAAUACCUUAGACAGAUGGAAUGGAACCUUAAAGAGGAUACGAGACAGCAAAUCCAAACAGUGAAAGAGCACAUUGAAAUUGAAUUACAUAAACAGAUAAAAGAAGAAGUUAAGCAUCUUUAUCAGGAGAUAGAGAUUAUAAAAAAAAUCAAACAAUAAUUCUAGAAAUGAAGGAAACGAUAAACCAAAUUAAAAACUCAAUUGAGAGUAUCACUAAAAGAAUGGAGCAAGUAGAAGCCAGAACGUCAGAUAAUGAAGACAAAAUAUAUCAUCUUGAAAAGAGUCUAGCCAACUCAGAAAGGCUGGUAAAAAAUCACAAGAAAAACAUCCAAGAGAUAUGGGAUAAUAUAAAAAAAACAAACUUAUGAGUCAUCGGGAUAGAGGAAGGUACAGAGAUUCAAACCAAGGGAAUGAGUAACCUGCUGAAUGAAAUAAUUACAGAAAACUUUCCAGAAAUAAAAAAGGAAACGGAUAUACAAAUUGUAGAUGCAUACAGGACACCGAGCACACAAAAUCACAGUAGACCAACGCCAAGACACAUUGUUAUGAAGAUAUCCAAUAUACAGAACAAAGAGAAAAUAUUAAAAGCUACAAGAGAAAGGAGGCAGAUUACAUUCAGGGGUAAACCAAUAAGGUUAACAACGGAUUUUUCAUCACAGACGCUGAAAGCGAGAAGAUCCUGGAACAACGUAUUUCAAACACUGAAAGACAAUGGAUGCCAACCAAGAAUUCUGUAUCCAGCAAAAUUAAGCUUCAGGUACGACAACGAAAUAAAAAUCUUUCAUGAUAAACAAAAGCUAAAAGAAUUUGCAGCCAGAAAACCAGCAUUGCAAAGCAUCUUGAGCAAAACACUACACGAGGAAGAAAUGAAAAACAAUAACCAAAACCAUCAGUGGGAAGUGCCUCUGUAAAGACAGAGGGCGGG
RNAcentral lists this transfer RNA (4702 nucleotides) under Marmota monax (woodchuck). Lineage: Eukaryota; Metazoa; Chordata; Mammalia; Rodentia; Sciuridae. The record is from RNAcentral.